AUGAACGCUGGCGGCGUGCCUAAUACAUGCCAGUCGCGCGAACAGACGAGGAGCUUGCUCCUCUGACGUUAGCGGCGGACGGGUGAGUAACACGUGGAUAACCUACCUAUAAGACUGGGAUAACUUUGGGAAACCGGAGCUAAUACCGGAUAAUAUAUUGAACCGCAUGGUUCAAUAGUGAAAGACGGUUUUGCUGUCACUUAUAGAUGGAUCCGCGCCGCAUUAGCUAGUUGGUAAGGUAACGGCUUACCAAGGCGACGAUGCGUAGCCGACCUGAGAGGGUGAUCGGCCACACUGGAACUGAGACACGGUCCAGACUCCUACGGGAGGCAGCAGUAGGGAAUCUUCCGCAAUGGGCGAAAGCCUGACGGAGCAACGCCGCGUGAGUGAUGAAGGUCUUCGGAUCGUAAAACUCUGUUAUUAGGGAAGAACAAAUGUGUAAGUAACUAUGCACGUCUUGACGGUACCUAAUCAGAAAGCCACGGCUAACUACGUG
This 496-nucleotide ribosomal RNA is filed under the name uncultured bacterium. Its description in RNAcentral is "partial 16S ribosomal RNA". It matches the Rfam family "Bacterial small subunit ribosomal RNA", at positions 29 to 507 of the family's 1533-position model. The record is from RNAcentral.